This 345-nucleotide unclassified non-coding RNA is filed under the name soil metagenome. Its description in RNAcentral is "partial contains 5.8S ribosomal RNA, internal transcribed spacer 2, and large subunit ribosomal RNA". The stretch from base 1 to 120 matches the Rfam family "5.8S ribosomal RNA", at positions 35 to 154 of the family's 154-position model. The record is from RNAcentral.
GAUGAUGAACGUAGCGAAAUGCGAUACGUAAUGUGAAUUGCAGAAUUCAGUGAAUCAUCGAGUCUUUGAACGCACAUUGCGCCCCCUGGUAUUCCGGGGGGCAUGCCUGUCCGAGCGUCAUUGCUGCCCUCAAGCACGGCUUGUGUGUUGGGCCUCCGUCCUCCUCCCGGGGGACGGGCCCGAAAGGCAGCGGCGGCACCGCGUCCGGUCCUCGAGCGUAUGGGGCUUCGUCACCCGCUCUUGUAGGCCCGGCCGGCGCUUGCCGACACAUCAAUCUUUUUUCCAGGUUGACCUCGGAUCAGGUAGGGAUACCCGCUGAACUUAAGCAUAUCAAUAAGCGGAGGA